AGCAGCCGCGGUAAUUCCAGCUCCAAUAGCGUAUAUUAAAGUUGUUGCAGUUAAAAAGCUCGUAGUUGAAUUUCGGGGUUAGUAGGUUGGUCAUGCCUCUGGUAUGUACUGGUCUCACUGAUUCCUCCUUCCUGAUGAACCUUAAUGCCAUUUAUUUGGUGUUUUGGGGAAUUUGGACUGUUACUUUGAAAAAAUUAGAGUGUUUAAAGCAAGCUAACGCUUGAAUACAUUAGCAUGGAAUAAUGAAAUAGGACGUUCGAUCCUAUUUUGUUGGUUUCUAGGAUUGGCGUAAUGAUUAAUAGGGAUAGUUGGGGGCAUUAGUAUUCAAUUGUCAGAGGUGAAAUUCUUGGAUUUAUUGAAGACUAACUACUGCGAAAGCAUUUGCCAAGGAUGUUUUCAUUAAUCAAGAACGAAAGUUAGGGGAUCGAAGACGAUCAGAUACCGUCGUAGUCUUAACCAUAAACUAUGCCGACUAGGGAUCGGAUGAUGUUAAUUUUUUAAUGACUCA
RNAcentral lists this ribosomal RNA (508 nucleotides) under uncultured Glomus. RNAcentral's name for it is "SSU rRNA". It matches the Rfam family "Eukaryotic small subunit ribosomal RNA", at positions 569 to 1078 of the family's 1831-position model. Lineage: Eukaryota; Fungi; Glomeromycota; Glomeromycetes; Glomerales; Glomeraceae. The record is from RNAcentral.